GAGCUGUCACCCUGGAUCAGAGCUGAGGUGAUUCAUUGGUUUAAUCCUACUGGAGCCAGAAGUAACAUUCACAUAAGAAUUUCAAUUAAAACUCAGAAGAGAUGUAAGAUAUACACUUUUAACGGGGAGGGUGAUUCGUCAUUGGGAAGGAACUAGCCUUGGAAGCAGCUAAUUUUUCAUUUGUAUUUGCAAAUUAGAACUGGAAGUCUUACUGGAAGAUAUGCUGAAGCCAAAACCAGGUUAUUGUGUUCAGUACAAGGAUAGCUGAGUGGAAUCAGAUGGCAUAUUCUUGAAGAAUGGGCUACAUGAAGAGACCAUUUUUUCAGUUCAUUUGUCCUACAUGCAGAAGAACAAAGUCCCCAGGAGCAGGACAGACCAGCUUUCAUGACAAUGCCACAGAGUUCUCUUCAAGACAAUGGCAAGAUGUUGCAGCUGAGGAUGAUUCGCUCCAAACAACCUUUUCCACAAGCAGCAGGCCUGAACAAAUGACUGUGGGAGUUUCCUGGUGUUGUAGAAACAUCCAGCUAAAGUGUACUUCAGGAAGAAUCUGCGUCAAUGCAGUCCUAAGUAAAACAACAGUAAGAAUUGCAGGCAUUUGUGCCUGAAGUUUCUAUUUGUCAGGCCACACUGGGAUAGACAAAGGUUUUUUGCUGCUGCCUCAGCAGAAAUGACUCUUGAUUCAGGGACUCUACAUACUUACUGAGAUGAGCAUCUGUUUGGAAGAGACAGUUGGUGAAAUAAUGUAUAGCAAAGGAGGUUUGCAGUGGAAGCAAGUAAUAUUUGGAGAGGAACAAGUAAAAGAAUAUUUUUUGACAAAUACCUUCCAGAUGCUGCAGCUUUCAGAUUUAUUUGCUCAUGAGAGCAUCUGUCUACACCAGUGUUUGGUCUCAAGCAGCUAAGGCUGGAUGCUGAGCUGCCUGAAGCUGGGGAAGGCAGAAGAAGCCAUUGCUCUUCAGCUGCUGCAUUCAGUGUCUUGAUAAAACUGGUAUAAACUUGAUAAAAUCCUGGCAAUUAAGAGCCUCACAGAGGCUCCCACUAAUUAAAGCAGUCAGUCAUUUUCAGUAGAAAUCAAGGCCAUUAAUGUUUUACAUUCAACCUCCCUCUUCCCCUCACUGCAGUACAGCACAGCCACGCAGAGUCAGAGCCUGCCUCUGGUGAGGCAGAGCUCUUCCUUCUCACUUCACUUCAUUUGGGAGAGCUGUUUAAAGAAUGCAAGUUUUUCAAACUGACCAUGCUUUCUACAUUUCCACAAGCAGGAGCAAACUCUUUGGUGGGGCUGCCUGACAGCUACUUCCCCUCAGGGGCACUGGCAGCAUCCCUGAGAAAGGCAGCAGAAGGUGGUGCUUUAAUGGAAAUGGAAAAUUUAAACCUGCACUGAUGCUGUUCUGGACCUGAAACUUGAGUAUUUGGGGAACUGAUAGCCUCCACACACUAAAAUAGGCAAAUCAGCAUUUUGCAACUCAGCCCCAUGCCAUUCUUGGCUGAUAAGAUUUUGGAAUACCACUUGUAACAAUGCAAACUGGACUGAAGGUCAGGCUUUGGUCCAUGCCAUGGUUCUAACUUCACCAGAGGUGGGCUUAUGUCCUCAGGGGAAUGUGAUAGAGGAAAUAAACACAGAUAUACAAUCA
Long non-coding RNA from Cyanistes caeruleus (blue tit), 1628 nucleotides. NCBI's taxonomy places the organism in Eukaryota, Metazoa, Chordata, Aves, Passeriformes, Paridae. The record is from Ensembl.